Molecule: non-coding RNA, 446 nt
Organism: Plectropomus leopardus (leopard coralgrouper)
Lineage: Eukaryota; Metazoa; Chordata; Actinopteri; Perciformes; Serranidae
Source: RefSeq, a predicted model, not a curated record
GUGGAUUUGAGACGUAACAGUUUGUCAAAACUUUGAUGAGAUUGGAGGAUCGAGCUUUACCUGUAACAGCUGUGACAUCAUAUCCUGUUUCCUCUGCAGGUGAAUGCAGCUGUUAACAGUUUAUUGGCUCCUGGAUCAGCGACCAACACGCUCACACCGACUGUCAUCACCUCCCAUGCUCUGACUCCGGUCCUGUUGACUCCCAGUCCUCUUCCAUCCACCAUCCACUUCUGGAGCACGCUGAGUCCCAUCGCUCCUCGGUCUCCGGCCAAACUCUCCUUCCAGGUAAUAGACCGAGCCGCUGCACAUCUCACUGAGGACAGCAGGUUUGAUUCAAACUGAGUAAAUGAAUCAAUCUUUAUUUCAAACAUGGAAAAACAACAACGACUAUAUAAAAUCUAUACAUUAAUCUCAAUAAAGAAAUACUCCAGCCACUUAAACUUGAA